Molecule: non-coding RNA, 1648 nt
Organism: Coturnix japonica (Japanese quail)
Lineage: Eukaryota; Metazoa; Chordata; Aves; Galliformes; Phasianidae
Source: RefSeq, a predicted model, not a curated record
GAAAUUAGCAAUAAAGUCAGUGAAAAACUGGAGCCUAUGCUAGACCUCGAUUCAAGAUGUAUGGCAGCUUCCCUGCAUUUAAAGGACUUUAGUUCUGGUCUGUACUUGCAGAGCGGCCAAGGUCUGUUUCCUUUUAAAUGCAUUUUGAAGCAGAUACAGCAAACAAUAGUGCGUCACCUCCAUGUGAGAUGCCUUUGUGAUAUUCACAGGAAGUCCCAGUCACAAAUAAAAAGGCUGUUCUUCACUAGGAUCAAAUUGGAAUUAUUUGACAUCAGCUGGGUUAGGAUGGGGAGCUUUAAUCGGAGGAGAUGAAAGACGGGUGAAAACUCUGCUGGGCCACAGAGUCCCCUGCUGAAACUGAAACUUCAUGCUACAACUGGGCCUCAUCUGACUUUAAUUAAAUAAGGGAAGAUCAAAGCCUACAAAUCUCCCUGAUCUAUAUCAGCGCAACAAAUUAAAGGGUGGUUAAUUUUUGCCUUUUUAAGGAAUUUCUUUUGGAUGUGACUUGUUCUUACUCUGGUUUAAUCAUACGAGUACUCUGUAGGAAGUAGGAAAAAGAAAGAGCAGUGUGAGAGCAGAGCACCAACAUCGAGAUGGGGACAGACAGAGGUUGUCGUACCCAGUUCAGUCAUUCCUGAGCCUCACUGCCAAUGUGGAGGGGAUUCACAGUACACAAGGACUGGGACAGCUCUGGGCAUACCUUCAAGGACAAUUCUGGAGUUACCGUCAUAUUCAGGAACUGAGUGAUGCAGCCUGAGAAAUAAUCCUAAGAGGUUUUGAGGGGGAGAAAAAGUAACACGCAAGGAGCCGGCAGUGAGAGUCAGUGGCCACCUAAGAGCCUGCAGUAUAAUGAGACAGACCACAUUUGCAGAGAGUUUACGCUGAAGAAACGUGCUCUCACCACAGUCAGUAUUGCAGUAAUGGUCACACUUGCUUCUCAGAAGUAUUUUGUUUUCAUAUGGUGUUUAUAACCAGAGCCAUAAAUCUGGGAGACACUUUACAUGCUUCAUUACUUGACUGAAAUUCCAUUUAACUCAUUGAAAGCUUUCCUAUUGACCUCAGUGGGAUGGGUGAUUGUGAAAUAAGGAAAUGCCAGUCUAUUUUAAAAUGAGACUUGUAUCUAUGUCACCAUGGUUAGCAGGAAAUAAAACAACCUGCGUAUUGUUCACCAACAAGUUUCACAUACAGCUGACCUGCUGCCUCCAUGCACCCAGCUCUCACAUGGAGUGCAGCAAUAGCUGCUCAGGGAUACCUACUCAUCCCAGUGGUGUUUAGAAACACAUGUAUAAGAGGAAGAAGAAAAUAUCCAAGCCUAAGUGAUGUGGCUAUUCAUAUAAAAUAGAAAUUGCACAAAAGUUAAACAACCAACAGGAGGAAGCAUCACAGCCUGCUUCUGACAGCCUCGAUGGAGAAGCUCCCUUGUAGCCUUAAUUCCACACAUUUCUGUGUAGAAAAUACUAAUCUUUUAAUGAAUCACACUUUCUAUGGAUAAUGUUAGGAAACCUUGAUCUUCCUUUUUGAAUUGUAAUACAGCCUGAGGUUCUGACCUGAUUGUCAAGAGCACUCGGUCAAAAAAAAAACCAAAAAAAACAACAAACCCAAAACAAAACAAAACAAACAAACAAAAAAACCAAAAAACCCCCAAAGG